Molecule: ribosomal RNA, 410 nt
Filed under: Verrucomicrobiota bacterium
Lineage: Bacteria; Pseudomonadati; Verrucomicrobiota
Description: Verrucomicrobia bacterium partial 16S ribosomal RNA
Rfam family: Bacterial small subunit ribosomal RNA
Source: RNAcentral
UGGGGAAUCUUGCACAAUGGGCGAAAGCCUGAUGCAGCGACGCCGCGUGCGGGAUGAAGGCCUUCGGGUUGUAAACCGCUUUCAGCAGGGACGAGGCCGCAAGGUGACGGUACCUGCAGAAGAAGCCCCGGCUAGCUACGUGCCAGCAGCCGCGGUAAUACGUAGGGGGCAAGCGUUAUCCGGAUUCAUUGGGCGUAAAGCGCGCGUAGGCGGUUUGUUAGGUCAGGAGUUAAAUCUGGGGGCUCAACCCCUAUCCGCUCCUGAUACCGGCAGGCUUGAGUCUGGUAGGGGAAGGCGGAAUUCCAAGUGUAGCGGUGAAAUGCGUAGAGAUUAGGAGGAGCACCGGUGGCGAAAGCGGCUUUUUGGCCUGCAACUGACACUGAGGCGCGAAAGCGUGGGGAGCAAACAGG